Molecule: long non-coding RNA, 205 nt
Organism: Saccostrea cuccullata (small rock oyster)
Lineage: Eukaryota; Metazoa; Mollusca; Bivalvia; Ostreida; Ostreidae
Exons: 3
Source: RefSeq, a predicted model, not a curated record
GUAGCUGUCAAGAGUUCCAGGCUUGAGGAUGAAUAAAUAAAAAUCCCUUCCAUUUCUCCACAGGCUAUUCCCAAAGAAUUGAAUCUAUGGAUUCAUUCAGGCAGCAAGUUAAUCCAUCAUUUAAGGAAAAUGAAUUGAUUUCAUCCACAAGAAUAUGAAGUGAUGGAAAUAAUUUGCACUUGCUCAGUAUUCCUUAUAAAGCCUA